Molecule: long non-coding RNA, 688 nt
Organism: Oreochromis niloticus (Nile tilapia)
Lineage: Eukaryota; Metazoa; Chordata; Actinopteri; Cichliformes; Cichlidae
Exons: 2
Source: RefSeq, a predicted model, not a curated record
UUCACCUCCGUGGCAACUCACACAGCCUUAAGUGAAGAAUCAAGACACCUGCCUAGCCGUUGUUGUGAGGGCUCCUCCUCAGUGGAGCCUGCUGUCUUGUCUUGUCUUGUCUUGUCUUGUCUUGUCUUGUCUUGUCUUGUCUUGUCUUGUCUUGUCUGGUUUUGAAUUGUUUUAUCGUGUCUUAUCUUGUUUUAUUAAGUAGGCCUACCAUUUCCUGGUUCGCCUGGUUUUAUUUUAUUUUAUUUCUGAACUGUGGCGUGUGCCCACGCUUCUGUGAUCGGGCUGAAGCCAUUCUUUGCCUGAGUGUCGUGCCGGGGAUUUUAAAUUGCCCCCGUUGCUGGUCUUAGCCUGUGGGGAGCCAGACCAGCUCGCGAUUGAGGCUGGGACCAUUACUACCAGUACGAGUGGACCCGCGGGGCACAAGCCUUCCUGUGUUGAACGGAGGACGUACCAGUGGCCCUGGGACCUUAGGUGGUGGGUCGUUUUCACACUUUCUUUUGUACAGCACCGGGUGGGCUGCAGUGAUUUUCGUUUUGUGUGAUUUUCUUUUGGGUCCACGGCUGCUGGUAAGUCCAAGUUCCAUGUUUGUUUUAUUUUCACUUUAGGACACUGUCAACAAUGACGCUACAUCUUGGUUUCUAAAUAUUUUAUUUAUUUUUACUAUAAAUAAAACUGUUUUAAUAUUGGA